AAUGAAUUGCCUGAUAAAAAGGAUUACCUUGAUAGGGAUACCAUAUAAUUUUAAUAUUAUAUUCAUUA
This 68-nucleotide transfer RNA is filed under the name Polypedilum unifascium. RNAcentral's name for it is "tRNA-Ile". The record is from RNAcentral. Lineage: Eukaryota; Metazoa; Arthropoda; Insecta; Diptera; Chironomidae.